Molecule: ribosomal RNA, 776 nt
Filed under: uncultured Neocallimastigales
Lineage: Eukaryota; Fungi; Neocallimastigomycota; Neocallimastigomycetes; Neocallimastigales
Description: partial large subunit ribosomal RNA
Rfam family: Eukaryotic large subunit ribosomal RNA
Source: RNAcentral
AUAUCAGUCAUGCAUAGCAUAUCAAUAAGCGGAGGAAAAGAAACUAACAAGGAUUCCCUUAGUAACGGCGAGUGAAGCGGGAAGAGCUCAAAUUUGAAAUCUUCAAGGUUUUACCUUGACGAAUUGUAGUUUAAAGAAGUGUUUUCUGUUGAAGUUUUGGUAAAAGUUCUUUGGAAUAGGACAUCAUAGAGGGUGAGAAUCCCGUAUUUGACCAUUACUUUCAGCUUUGUGAUACACUUUCAAAGAGUCGGAUUGUUUGGGAAUGCAGUCCAAAAUGGGUGGUAAAUUUCAUCUAAAGCUAAAUAUUGGCGAGAGACCGAUAGCGAACAAGUACCGUGAGGGAAAGAUGAAAAGAACUUUGAAAAGAGAGUUAAACAGUACGUGAAAUUGUCAAAAGGGAAGCGCUUUGACACCAGUGUUGUUUUCUCGAAAAUCAAUUAAAAAGAGUUGGAUUUUGUGUUGUAUUGACUUUAUCAGGCUUUCUUCACUCUUUUCCAGCUCUUUUUAAUGCACUUCUCGUUUAACAAGUCAACAUCAGUUUCUUUUGUUGUAAAAAGGUCAUUGGAAGGUGGCUUUCUCUUCGGAGAAAGUGUUUAUAGCCUUUGACUCAUGCAAUCGGAGAGACUGAGGUCUGCAGCGUAGAUCCUUCGGGGUUAGAUACAUUUGUGCUAAGUUAUAGCUUUUCAUAGACAACUUGUUGACUAUGUUUAGUCUUGUAGCUUACUCGCUUAUGCUAUUUUACCUACGCUUAGGAUGUUGAACUCUAUCACACACAG